This 460-nucleotide ribosomal RNA is filed under the name uncultured bacterium. RNAcentral describes it as "partial 16S ribosomal RNA". It matches the Rfam family "Bacterial small subunit ribosomal RNA", at positions 338 to 795 of the family's 1533-position model. The record is from RNAcentral.
CCUACGGGAGACAGCAGUGAGGAAUAUUGGUCAAUGGACGCAAGUCUGAACCAGCCAUGCCGCGUGCAGGAAGACGGCUCUAUGAGUUGUAAACUGCUUUUGUACGAGGGUAAACGCAGAUACGUGUAUCUGUCUGAAAGUAUCGUACGAAUAAGGAUCGGCUAACUCCGUGCCAGCAGCCGCGGUAAUACGGAGGAUUCAAGCGUUAUCCGGAUUUAUUGGGGUUAACGGGUGCGUAGGCGGUCGGAUAAGUUAGAUGUGAAAUCCCGAGGCUCAACUUCGCGAUUGCAUCUGAAACUGUUCGGCUAGAGAGUAGUAGCGGUAGGCGGAAUGUAUGGUGUAGCGGUGAAAUGCUUAGAGAUCAUGCAGAACACCGAUUGCGAAGGCGGCUUACCGGGCUGCAACUGACGUUGAGGCACGAAAGCGUGGGGAGCAAACAGGAUUAGAUACCCGGGUAGUC